AUGAGUGAGAACCUUUCAAUUAUGAAUUGGAAUGUGCGUGGGCUUAAUGAUCGAGCAAGACGAGCGGCUGUUCGAGCGCUGCUUGAUCGCGUAUCUUGUUCGAUCAUAUGCAUUCAGGAAUCAAAGCUUUCCAGCUUCUCAGAUUCGGACCGAACAAAGAUCGUUGGGCCCCGCUUCGACCAAAGCGUGUCCCUCAAUGCUGCCGGCACCCGUGGAGGUAUCCUACUGUGCUGGCGCUCG
RNAcentral lists this ribosomal RNA (240 nucleotides) under Triticum aestivum (bread wheat). RNAcentral's name for it is "partial small subunit ribosomal RNA". The record is from RNAcentral. Lineage: Eukaryota; Viridiplantae; Streptophyta; Magnoliopsida; Poales; Poaceae.